Numida meleagris (helmeted guineafowl) is the source of this 13321-nucleotide long non-coding RNA. RefSeq lists it as uncharacterized. The record is from RefSeq and is a predicted model, not a curated record. NCBI's taxonomy places the organism in Eukaryota, Metazoa, Chordata, Aves, Galliformes, Numididae. The transcript has 2 exons.
UGGUUGUUAUGCAGGAGAAGAAAUGAAAUAGUUCAGUGAAUUAGCCCAAACAAGAUACGCACUGGGAUUGGUCUCUAGAGAUUCAAAAUACCGAAAUCAAUGCUUUUAGGCUUAUCGUACUUUUUAUUUAAUAGAGAAAUGCCUGAUCUGGGACUGCCGCGCAUCCCAAAGACAGCACAAAGACGUAAUUUUUUUCAGAGAGUGCCCUGAGGGUAACAGGAAGAAUUACAGAAAGCUUCAAACCGCUCCGCUCCCACAAGUAUCCCCACACUCUGGACUUUCACUUCAGCAACAAAGCGCAACCAGCGAGGAAUUUGUGGUGGUUGCUGAGGACGUGGACUGGUGUCACAAAGCACAGUGCUAACUGCCUCACCAGCCCAGCACUGUCCUGGAAAAGCAUGGUCCGAUAUUGGUGAGAGGAGGCCCAGGCUCAGACCACACAGUGCCUUGGGCCUCAGCACAGUUCAGUGCUGUGUACCCACUCCUGGGGCCCUCCAGAGGGCCCUGCGACUGCAACGGGAAAUUAUUUGUCCUAGCAACUGUCCCCAUGGUCAGGUUUCACCUCAAAGAGAUGUACCAAUGACAACUGGAGGACGGAGAGGUGACACCAAAACCUGACACCUACAAAAGGCACACACUGAGCAAUGACUGAAAGCAGAGAAAAGCACAGAAUCCAAUGGAAGUAGUUGUUUCAGCAGUCCGUGGGCACUGUAAUUUCAUAAACAAUGAACUACAGGAACACAAAUGAACACUAUGGGAAAAGAAACCUCUCGCAUUUUUUUUUCACUGCAGUAAAGUACAGACCACCAAGAACAGCUUGAUUCAAAUACCCAGCAUUAGUUCCCACAUGAGAGUUGUUAUUGUUGGCUUCGACACCACGUCCAACAAGAACAACCAACAAGGAAGCAAAUCUGCAGAAAACAUAAAUUGAGCUGUAAUUUUAUUCUUACAUGAGCAUAUCUUCCCUAGGAAAUAGGUAAGCUUCCUCCUUCAGGAACAGGUCAUAGCAUGGAGGACACCACUGGCUUUUGAUAUGCUGAGCCAUAAAUGUGAAAAAAAAAUGGAACAGAGUGAACAAUUAAAAUUACAGUAAGCUUAUGAUUUCAUUUUAAACUGGUACACCCUGAUGUCAGCCUAUCACUAAACAGAUUUCACCUUCUCAGUCCUUUACAAACUCUAAGCAUUAAAUGGGGCUCUGUAUCUUUAAUCGUUGAAGUGAUUUUCCAACUCACACAAGUAAACCUUUUCCGUAGUGCAGUCUCUUUUUAAGUUAAAAAUAAAACACCCAACUAUUUUCUUUUUCCCACAGACGAGAACAUUAAAACAUUGACAUUUUAAUCUGUUCUAUACAAGAGUGAGUUGUGUCAGCACACUGCUUCCAGCUACAACAACAGAAAAACCCAAGUUUAAUUAAAGACAGAGUGGAGAAGCUGCCUUGUGGUGUCUGAACCACAAAGCUGCAUUGCACAGUCUGUGCGCACUCACCAUCUUCGGCCUCAGCUUCCUCGUGGAUAACUGCCUGGCAGACAAGAGAUGAUGGCAAAGAAAGGGGAGAUGAGAAAAAACGUCUUUCUCAGAGAAAUCAGAAAGGUGAGAAUCAUAACUUUCACAAAUUUUACCCAGAAAAUAGUGAUAGCAUAGCACAAACACCCUUAUCACAAAAACAUUCCGAAGUUAAUCAUGCUGCUGUCAGCCUCAGCUCUUCAGUGCUAGGACUCCUACUGAUCCAUGCCUUAACACUGAACGAAUACGCAUCUCUGCUGACAAGUUCAUUUUCCCAGCAAGUUCCACUGACGUUUUGUUUUUAAUAAUGGAACCACAAAAUUCUGGGUUUCUACUUCCAGAUAAGCAGCAGAACUCCAAGAGACAUUGUCUGCGAGACAGAACCUGACCCUUCUGCAGGGAUCCUCUGGCAGUUCCCCAGCUCCAGCAGGCUGGAGGCCCUGGGGCUGCAGCAGGAGCACAGUGGGGAGGCAAUGGAGGAGGAAGCCUGAGGAGAGCAGAAGUUGUUCCCUCCCCAUUUCCUGCCCAUGAGGUAAAAGAAAAAAUGUUUGCAAAUCUCAGGUUAUGUCUGCCAGUACUUCCUCACUACAAACAGGAACAUCAAGAGUAAGUUUGCAGCAUUGUCCUUCACUUGCUGGAGAAGACGCAGUGCCUAGCACUGUGCUCAAGCGCUCAAUCCUGAUCCCAGAACUUACUUUGGUUCUGAAGCAGGACAAUGGCUCCCUCAAGCAGGAGACAAAUCAAAAUGAGUAGGAGUUGUGUGAAUAGCAACAAAACGGAAAGUGGAGGUGAACCUGGAAAGCAAGCAAAACCAGGAGAAAAAAAAGCAUAGGAACACUCUUCUUUACUAUGAGGAUCUGCAUCUAAUAUUGUUGGCAAAGCUCCGUAACAGACUAAUUUCAAUUAAAAGACGAUAUAUCCUGAAAAUGAACCUGGAGAGGAACAUAUACAACUAAAAGUGCACAACUUGCCUGUGGCUUGUUGUAAGUUAUCUUCCAAACUUUGGUUUUUCAGCUGAAUAAACAAAAUUAUAGAUGGAGGAGGACAAAAAUAUAUAUAAAUUCACCUCAGAAUUUUAUAGAUUGCUUUGUAAAAUCGUUUCCUGCCUAUCUGUCACAUAGAAUAGGAAAGAUACAUAUAUCAAGGAAAACAUAUUCACAUUCUCGGCCAGUUCCUUGAAAACCAAGCCAAACCACAACACCUGACCCCCAAACAAAAACAAAAGCCACUACCACCCAGCUCUCACAAAGACACCUUCAGAACAGGCAGAUUUCCAAACGGAGCUGGGUGCAGGCAGGUUGCCGUGCCUCUGGCCCAGCUUUGCUCCCAGGCUGGUGAGGACAGCCUGCUGGGCCAGGGUCCUGUACCACACAGCCCCCCAGCUGCUGGAACAGCUCCUGCUAGAAUCCCUCCCCGAGAGAAAGAGGAACUCAGUCUCUGCUGGUGGUGGAUCUGUGUUGAGCGUGGAAGCUUGCUCACACACAUGCUUUCCACAAAUGGGCAUGUUCCUCUGUAUUUACAUUUCCAAGCAUGUCUGUAAUGCGUGUGAAUCCUGCAAUUUUUACUGCACAGCAUCACCCUUACCUAAAAUUCAGAUUUGUGAAUGUUAGAUUACAAAGGAGUCUCCAAGAGUGUUUUCCCUGUCUUCUUCUCAAGAAAAAGAAAAUCCUAAGAAAGUCAGUGAAUCCAAGCAGAGGCUUCAGAAGUCUCCUUUCAGGCAAUCAAAGGCAGGAUUUUCCAACCAGGCAGCUGUAGUUCAUUAGAUCCGCCAUGGACCGUGAAAGCCACUUGCCAAUAGUGUCGAAAGACUAUUACUCAUUUCAAUCUCUCUGAAGAGGACAGCUCUCUGACAAAGCAUUAGUGAAAAACAGAGUUUGGGGCUCUGACUGAACAGCCAAGCACACAGACGGAAGCUCAAUGCUGAACAUGACGCCAAAUUUCAAAGGCAGAUUGAUGUCCCAGCUUUUCAUUUGCAGAGAUCAGACCUUCUGUGUAGAUUAUAGAGGGAAUAACAAUAAGCGCGCCAUAUGAUAAUCAUCCUGUACAACCUGACAGAAGCAUAUUCCCAAACAGUUCUCUGCAACCCUUGCUAAUAUCUGCAAUUGGCAGGAGGAAAAAAAAAGUCAAAUCCGCUAACAACUUCUCAUAAUCCAGAGAAAUUAAUCAAAAUAAUUAAGAAAUCUCUCCGAAAUUAAUUUAAAAAUUACAGCAAAAAUAAAGAGGAAGACUGGAAGACACCCAUUUUUUCACUUUCCUGAAUUAAAUUUCCACAUAAAUGAUCACAAGAAUGAGUUCUCAGAAUUGCAGGAUUCUGUAACACACACCUGGAUGGGCUUGGCCCACCCUCGCAUUUGGGAGCAUCUUCCCCUUCAGUUGCUUGCCACGAUCUCACCCCUUCCAAUGCUCUUGCUCUUGUGGCUGCAAGCCUCCCAUUGCUCCCGCAGUGCCGGCAGUAGCACUCCAGACAUUUUAAUAACUGCCUCCUCAUUUCCAGGCAGAGUUAUGCUGUGGUCAGACACCACACGCAUGUGAUAUAUCUCGCAUAGAAGAUAAGUGCAUUUUGGGUCCCGGCUGUUACUACCAUAGACCACACCUAUAAAUAUUCCAAUUCCCAUGACUGGGCACAUGAACGCCGGUAUCUUGUAUGCGAUAGUGGCUAGCAAGAGCUGCCAGAAAUCCAGCAUCUGAACUAGAGAUAAGAUGAUGAUCUCUCCGACAGUGUCUGUUAAUCAAGCCAAUGAACACCCCACCCAAAGCCUCCAUGUAUUAGUACAAAAUCUGAAGCAAUGGAAAGGGCUGAAAAAAAGUUCUCUCCUCAUCCCUGAGGAAUCAAUAAUCCACUUCAUACAGUUCACUCAGAUUCCAUUUUUACAACUGUUUUUUUUUUUUUUUUUUUUUUUUUUUUUUUACAGAUCACCAGAGAGAUCUCAAAUCCCUUUCAUUCCUAACACACACCUUGCUUCAGAAAAGAAAGUUUACAAAAAAUUCUAAUAAAUCAUCAUGCAUAUACAGCAAAUAGCAAAAUCUAAUCAAAUUACAUAAGGAAACGUUUCCUUAGGAUUCCAGAGAAGUGACAGGUUAUGUUUUACAGAAGAGCUGUAUUGCAACACAAGCGAUACUGUGCACACAGUGAAGUUGACUUUUCCAUAAUGCUUUUCUCCAAUUUAAAUACGUUCUCUGAGGAGGACUGACAGCGUGGCCAAUGAGCCAGUAAUUGCCCAGCCUAGAUAAGCAUUGGUUUCCUCUCCGCAUAGGGAAGUAUUUUAGGAAAACCCUUUAAAGACUCCUAUGUCACAAAAGCUACCUUAAAUAACCUUGUUUACAUUUUGUUAAAAAGUCAAACUCUAUUGUACAGAAGCAAGUAGCAAACAACGAUUUCUCUUAUUGUAUGACUGGGUAUCGGAGAGAAUCCUUUCCAAGAGAGUGCCAGAAAAAAAAAAAAAAAAAAAAGACGUUCAUAGUAAAUUUUAUGAGAGAAGGAUAAAAAACAGGUAGUUCAACAGAUUCCUGAAAUCCCAGAAGUGGUCAAUAAAUCGACUUCUGCUUCACAUUAUAUGAAGAGGCUGUACUUAGCAAAUCACUGUGUAAGCUGCCUCAAUAACAGCACUCCUGCUAUCAAGUUUACUUGCAAUGAUUCCAACAAAGAAAUUAAUUUCUUAGAUGACAAGAAAAGGUUAUCUAGAAUGGGGAAGACACAUGAGACAAAAAUUUCCACUAAUAAAACAAAUACCAGACUCUGAACUGAAUUUAAAGCUAUCUUUUUUUCCACUGAAAGAUUUGAAAUCCCUGUAGCCCCAACACCAGCGCUACAAAGGAAACAUCCCUCCAACUGCAUUUCUAAAAAUAGAAGGGAAGCAGAAUGAACCGUCUCUUAUUCAAUAUGUGAUUCACUAAAGCAUCCCCUAUUCCUCAGGAAAGGCCCAUAUCAAGAAAAUAUAUACCGACCCUGCAAUCAAAGUUCUAGACUUAAAAGCAAACCUAACUUACAGCUACUGCUUAAUUUACUUCUUCUCAAUAACAUUAGUGCAAUGCAAGGAAAACUGUAUAUAAAGAACCUUCCAGAUCUCAGAAUAUGCCCUUCUCACACACCUUCCCAGUCUCAUGUUACUGAUUUUAUUGACCUGCUUAUUCCCUAGAGAUAUUCAACAGGUAUCCAUCACCCAUCCGAGUUUCCAUUUGAGUUGCCACAUUUAUUUUUCAUAAAUCUUUCCACAAAGGGACACCAUUUUACUCUGUGGCACUCUUUACUCCUCUUACUGAAACACUUAACCUUCAGUUGUUGCUCACUUCAAGUUUGUCUUAUGCGUAAGAACUGAGCAAAAUUUUGAUCAGUGAGGAAAAUCGUAUGUGUUUUAUAUGCAUCUCAUCAGGAUGUCAAUUAUCAGUACAUGAAAACAGGUGUUUGACACGGAUUUUUAAAGUCAUACAAAGAAGAGGACUGCCCUCCUGUAUGGCCCAGAAAUCUACUCCCACCAGUUCCCUAAAGCAAUUUGAUCAAUUUGAUCAAUCAAUCUGGAUAUCAGUAUCAAAUUAUUAGCCACAGCGCUAGAUGGAUUGAUUACAUUUUACUUGAAUGAUCAAUUUCCGUAGACUUGGUUUUAGCUGUAAAAUUUGCAUUUCUGUAUUUCACAGCUGUAGAAUUUUACAUCAAAAUAUUAAUCAGAUGUAAACCAAAGUGGUCCAUGUGAAAUAACUCAGAGACGUAGGCCUUCAGCUUCUAUCUUACCUUCAUCUCGCCAAAACAUGAUAAGGCCUUGAAGGUCUAAGCAGAGCACUUGAUGCUGUCUUUUUGGACCGUUACAAUGAAGAACUCAAGGAAACCUCAUACUGACGUGGAUGAAUGCAAGCUUAAGUCCCAUGGGAUUCUGAAUCCCCAUGUGAUUCUGCUAGGACAUUCAUAGAUUGAGUAGCUUGAACUAUGCCAAAUGGGAAAGAGUUAAGAUCUAGGUUUUGAUUUCCACGGUGGAUAAACGAAAGGAGAGCUGUUGGGACCAUUAACGCUCAUUUUUAGUGUGCCUUGGAAAACACGAUGUAUGUAAGAGGAUGGAGAGAAACAAUAACUUUUUUUUUUUUUAAAUUUAAAGGAGAUAUGGUGACCUGAUUAACGAUAGUCUAGUCUGUCUGAUACUGUUCUCAGAGUCACAGAAUGGCCAACACAGGGCUCCAGAUAAGAAAGAACUAAAGAGAGUAAUGUAAUGCUAAUUACAUGAAUUUUCAGGAGAUACAUUCUUGGAUUAGCUUAAUUUUUAAUUAUAAGUUUAUUGCUAAUUAAUAGCAUAGAUACAGCAGAUUUUUAUAAGGCAGUUGACUUGAUGAAAAAUGACAUUUGAUUAAGGAACUCAAAAUCAACAUGACACAUCAAGUGGGUUAGGGACAGAUAGGCCUCAAAAUUUAUUUGUAGAUGAGGCUAAACACUCAAUAAAUGUUUCCAGCUUAUAUCAAUUAAAUAUAAAAACAAAAGAGAAUGGGAUCUUUUAUCCUACCUCUGAGAGCCUGACCAGCUCUGUUUAUGCACUGGGGAAAAAAGAGCGUAAGAUGAUUACUGAACAAAUUUACAGAUUACGGAAUGAUGAAAACAAGGAUCAGUGAUAGAAAGGCAUUUAUUUUGCCUGGUAAAGAAGAGCCAAGCAAAGAUCAUAGUUUUUAAUAACGAAAUGUAAGAAAACAUGUCUAAGCUACACAUACAAGCUGGCGGCCUGUCCCGAAAGCAGGGAUUCCAAAAGGUCAUUGAAGAAGAACAUUCUACAGGAGCUUCAGGGAGAUAUUGUCGGUAAACAGGACUAUGGUGAUAAUUUUACUUUCACAUUUCCUACAAAGCUAAAAUUACACAAGCAAGGCUAAGCUGGAAAAACAGCACACAACAGAUGGCAGCAGAUAGGGCCCAAUGCUGCAUAGAAGACAAGAGAGGGCCUGGGGGUGGCACAGAGAAUAAUUCAGAACUGAGUCACAGGGGUCUCUGCCCUCACUUCCUCUUGGUACUAUUACAAGCAUCAGAGGUUCCAGUUUCCUACACUUUUUCCCCAUAGUAUACAUAUACAAAUGGAAGCCUAAAGCAUUUAUAAAAAAAACAAAAACAAAAAACAAAACCCACAGCCGCACAACAACAAGAACAAAGUCCAUAUCAGCUCUUCACAGCAGAUGCACAGCUGAAGAACGUGCUGGUUUGUGCGGGCUGGGGACUGACCAAAACCAAAGGAGAACACGACAGAACAGAUGGAAAGACUGGGCUAAAGUCAUGGACACGCAGCACAUCUGAGCAAAGGCAAGGCUUCAGGAAUAGCCAGAAUAGUCCUCCAGUGAGAUACUGCCAAAAGCAUAGGCAGCAUAUUUCCCUUGAAAAUACAAAGACUACUAAAAUGCCAUUUGCAUCAGUCUUGGCUCAGGAUGGGAAAGUAAGGAGAACUGGCAUGGGAAAGUAUACAUUGUAAGAUACAGUAGCCAAAGAAGAACAAUCUUUGUGUGCGUCGAUACAUUGCAAGUUACUGUCACCGAGCCCUCGCCACCUGCAAGCUGUCCGCCGCACACAGCCUUUGCUCUCACCGGUAUUGCCUUGAUCCCCACUCCGUUAAAACAACAACCCCCUACCCCCAAAGCUACCAAAAUGUUCAUUGAUACAGGAGGAAGGAAGCAGCUGUGCCUCUCCCAGCCAAGCAGGCUGUUACACUGGGAGAAAUUCAAACAUCCGCGAGACAGGGAGGAAGCAGCACGACGGUAUGCCUCUGAGGUCUCAUCACACGUAUAUAGCCAAGCUCUCCUGCUUCUUCCCUUUGUACAAUGCUUUGCAGAUAAUGUACAGUAUUAACAUAUCCUUCUCUGAAAGAAAUCUUUAAAAGCUGUACUUAAGACAAGCUGCUUACAUAUGGUGCAACAAGAUGUUCUGCUGUCAUCAAAGGAACAAAAUUUCACCACAAGUUACACAGCUUUUUUCAUCCGAUUUAUCGAAGUAUCAUGCAGCACUCCGCUGUUCUUCACCUGUUACAAACCCACUCACACAUCCCACCCGGCUGCUGACAACCCCACGGCAGGACACGAGACACACCAACCAUGUCCAGAGCGUGCAUUGCUUUGGUUUGGCCAUAAAUAUAUGAAAAGGAGAGGAAUAAAGAAGCCUCAGAUGAGUUGCCUGGGAUCACUUUAUAUCAACAGCACAGUUCCUUGGUGCUCUUUCACCCAAACCAUCUUUAUCCAUUAUAGAAAGCACGCACCAGCUGAACAAUGGAGGGCCUGAAACAGCGACUGAGGGAACCUAUGAGAUGUGCAAGGAUGCACACAGACACAGCAAAGCUGAGGAACUGCAUCCGAGCCUCCAGGCUCCUGGACUUUAACACUCCUCUUUGAGUCAGGGGUGUUACACAGCCCUGGAAUGGAUGGAGCCGUGGCAGUGCUGGGCGCAGUGGGGAUUCCUUAGGUCCAACACUGCAGUCGUUCUCAGCAGCAGCUACAGCUGAACCACGUUGAACAGUUCACAGCGAUUUCAGCCAUUUUCAAACCAGGAACAGCAUUACUUCUGUAGCUGUGAUUAACCAACAGUUCCAAUACUUUCGGUAGUGGAAAUCUCCCUUCUGUUAGAAAGAUUUGUACACCAUGACAGAGCCACCUAGAAUCCCCAACCCAAGUUUGUCUAAAUACAGCCAACCCACCUGCGAGCAGAGCUCCAGCUCCAGCGAUGACAUUGUGGUUUCCCUGUCUACCAUCCGCCUCCCUCCAACAUCAAUAUACUUCAGAGUCUGAAGGGACACUCAAACAAAGCUGGAGGGACAGGCAGGAAUCAAUGGCAAAACAAAAACAAACAGCUUUCAAAUGAUUUUGGACUCCUUAAAAGUGGGGAGUUCUUAUUUUUAGACUGCACACAAGUCUAGCUCAAGGUGCUUUUUCCUUCAUCCCCAUGACAGUAGUUAAGUGAAUACACCUGCCUCUCCUCCCUCCCUUCUGAUGGUAAACAGAAGGUCUUGCAUUUAGGGUACAACGUGGAAUACUUCAGAGCAGCCCUGUGCCAAAAUGGCACAUUUCUGAGAGAUGCAAAGGUAUUCAAUAAAAAGCUUUUAAAGGCAUAUUUUUAAACUUGCAGCAGGAAAGCUUUUCUGUGUCAAGACAGUAAUUCUUUUAACAGCAUUGAUCAAAAUGUCAUUCUUUUAUGAGUGUACAAUACCUUUUAAUGGCAUACAACAAGCCAUUAGGGUUAUACACCUCCGUACGGCAGACAGCUUACUGGAAAAAUGGGAACACUGGCCAAGAGACAGCCACCAGUCUUUGUGCUUCUAAGAAGGCAGCUUCGUUCAUUUACCUAGCUCUAUUUCAUCCCAGUACCCACAAAUGAAAUGAUCCCCAAAUUAAGCUGAACUUCUCAUCUCUUUCACCUAACAGUUACUUUCGCUGUAACCUACUUACUUUCUCCUAAGAAAUACCUCCUAAAAAUACAAUGAAUAUUCUGGCUUUCUAAAAUUGGAUUUUAUCACCAAGGUCACAUCCACUUCUUUCUUCUCACCGGCGAUCAUACUUAUCCCCAGAUCAGCUCCGACUGAAGAAUCAAAGGUGGUUGAAUUGCACAUAAUGGUUUUGAUUCUCAGAAACAGGAAAAAGAAACCACACGCCCUUUCCUUACACUCUGAGACUUGGGACAGAAUCUGUCUACAAAUCAUCCAAUUCUUUUCAAGUGCACCAACCCUUCAGAAAGGGUAAGAGCACUGGUGAUUGCAUUUGCUCUGCUUGAAUGGAAGGCAAGCGUGGACUCCCUAGAUGCAUUCAGCAGCACUUUAUAGCCUUAUUUUAGUUACCAACAUCAGCAGGAAAGGGAAUGAUUUCUAUCAAUCCAUCUUCAAGGGGUUUUACUGUAAGGGUGGGAAAAUACAUAUGGGAUUUAAUCCUCUAUGUUAAUUGAGCUGUGGCAGCACCAAAGGAACUUUAUUUCUCUCUUUGAAAUACAAAUGGAUAGUACCACCAUCUUCUCAGCUGUUUUUGAGAGCGUACCUGAGACACUGGUAUAAGCAAAUGAAGAACAAUUCCUGAUUAAAACGUGAGGAAAACUGAUGAGAAACAGGAAACAGAAGAAAUUUGAGGCUAUAUAAAGCAAAAGCUGGAGUGAAUUUAAUCUCAGUUAAGAAAAGCUUACGGGGCUGCUGGAUCUUCCUUCAGCUCUUCGGUUCGGUAAUGCAAAGCGCUGCUGUGCCCGUGCCAUCCCGCUACCAGCCAGCUGCUGCAGCCCUCACCACCAUCACACGCAGAGUUUAACACGAAAGUUGGAUUUUUCACGCCAUCUUUAAACAUACAUAAACUCAGCUGAAAACAAUUUACGCUUCAUGAGAUGCCAUUAUGUUAGACGAUACCACAAGGCCGCCUGCCCUGCAUUCAUUAUUAAACAGAGCCAAAUACAAAGAGGUGUCUCCAGGGAGUUACCGGGUCACCCACAAAGAGCGUGACGGCACCGCUGGUCACUGGGACCGAAACCCAACCAGAACCAGACACGAGACCUACACAUACGCAGCACGAACAUAACGAUGCUGCACUCAAACAGCAGACGCAGCACAUUCUGGCUAAUGCUACACUAAGAGCAAAGCUGCAAGAGCUCAAGCACACCGAGGGGAUGAUGACCAUUGUGGAAGAUGGCUGCGACGCGGACGGGGCUGCCCCGCAAGCAGCAGCACACGAGCGCCGCUCACAGCGCUGCCCGCUCCCACUGCUGUAUUUACCGCCUCUGUACAAUCCCUCCCUGCGCGAUUCCUUGUGGAUUGAACAAUGAAAUUUGUAAAACAAAGCUUAGAAUAGUUUCUGGAAGGCAGUAUAACCAGGAAUAUAGCAGCUGUCUCAAGCAAGCUGCGCUGGCUUCAUGGUUGACAGGGACCGGUUUCCCAGUACUAUGCACCAUACAUUAGAGUUGCUCUUCCAGCUGUAGUCUAGAGAGCGCGUAUUCAGGUGCACGCUUUUGAAAACAAGCAACAUGCUGCGUUAUUAGAUGGACAUUGACUCCUGCACCGCAUCUUGUGAUCAAAAUUAAUUUCUUACUGAAUUACACAAAAUUCUGUGCAAUAAGCUUUGCGGCAGGAUGAAGUGACUGCCAUCCCGCUCACCGAGGUGAGGAACCGCCCCCUCCUCUCGCACCUGACACCAGCAGCCGCGCUCCAACCCGGCGCACGGAACUCCGGAGCGGAUCGAGCCGCCCCUGUUUGGCGGCGCCACCGCCCAAUCCCGGGGAGGGCGACGCGAAGCCCCGCCCCGCGGCAUCAGGAAACCAAUCAGCACUCAAGAAGGGUAGGGGCGGUGCUCGCUGCUUCCCGCCUGCGAGUCCUCGCGAGCCCGCUGGUUCCGGACGCGUUGAUUGACGCGAGCGUUGUCCAACAGAAGCUCGGACGCGGGCUCUCGCGCGCCGACGGUUGGGCAGCAGAGGAAAGGGGAGGGGUUGCCGACGAAGCUCGGGGGACGCGGUCGGAGCGCCGGUUGCCAUAGCGACGGGCGGUCUGUGCCCGGAGUCGCGCUCCCUUGGGCUGCGGCUCCCCGCUCGGCCGGUGCCUUGGGAAGCUUUCCUAAAUGCUAAGCGUCCUUCUGAACGGCGCGUCGUUACGGUGGCGGAGAGCAACACAACCGCGAGCACGGCCCUCGGUGCGACUCCUCCCCGGGCGCGCUCGUGGCAGGCUGCGGCACGUGGGGCCGCGAGGGCGGCUGCCCGCGUUGUGCCUGUGAAAGCCGUUGGGGCAGCUGCUGCCGCCGGACCAAACGCAGAUCUAACCCGAGCCGGGGGAAGCACGCGGCCGCAGCAGGGCCUGGCUGGCUCUGGCUCACCCUUCAGAGCAGGGCAGUCGGUUUCAGCAAUGAGAAGGUGGAAGAGAUGGCAUGAAGGCAGGUGGAGAGAAAGGCGAGGUGGGGAACUGGGAAACCUGCGUGACUGUAUUUAUAAGGCCACAUAGAAAACCCAAUCACCAUAGGAAAAUGAAAAAGAGUGAUUUACAGACAAAUGCUAAAUCAUAGGAAACAAAUGAGCACCUGACAAGGCUGCCCCAGCACUCCUGGUAGAGAAGCAGGAGUGAAUCAAGCUUACUGGAAUCCUAAAGGUGUGAAUAAUGACACUGGAGCUGCCAUUCCUUCUGGCCAUAGCUCCUUGUUAGCAGCAUGAAGCUUGACUGGGCUGGGGAUUGCCUGCAGUGAUGGAGCUGGGAAACAAAGUGAGAAAAAAGCACUGCAGUCUGAAGGAGAAAAGCAAUGGAAAUUCACUUCCUUUUCCUUCCUCAGAACUGAAGUAUGACAGCAAAACACGAGAAUGCCUUGGUACUUUGUCUUGCUUUGAAAAGAAAUGAAGGAAAACAAACAAUUUUGUAAUAAAAAUGUAAUAUCCUUUUCUGGGGCUUCGCAAUCAAAGCAGCUUUAUAAACUAUUUGUGCAUGCGUACUAACCCUGCACUAAUCCCACUGGCCUCAGGCACACAAGAUGCUUAUGAAAUAGCAGGACAGUUUCUACUACAGGACACAUCUAUUUUCUAGCUCAUCAGAAGGCCAAGCAAAAGAACCAGACUCAGUGGACCAUCACCACCACUGCACGAAAAAAAAUCCAACAAAACCAUUAAAAAGGAGCUCAACUGCAAAAUAUUGCUGUAUCCAAGUACAUCAGUGAAAUACAAGAUAUUGUAUGUAUGGGAUAAUAUCAUGGUUCAGUACUGGGAAUGGGCAUCCAGUUCCUGAUUCUUUUUCCAGUCUAGGAUAACACUUUAAUGCGUGAAGUCCAGCGAUACAGAAAGAAAACAAGAGGACUGAGGGGAUUAGAGCACAGUUGUGGCCACUGCUGAGUACUAGUCAUUACAAUAAAAUUGCAUAAUAAUUGCUACUGCACACAA